This 274-nucleotide ribosomal RNA is filed under the name uncultured bacterium. RNAcentral's name for it is "partial 16S ribosomal RNA". It matches the Rfam family "Bacterial small subunit ribosomal RNA", at positions 523 to 796 of the family's 1533-position model. The record is from RNAcentral.
AUACGGAGGAUGCAAGCGUUAAUCGGAAUUACUGGGCGUAAAGGGCGCGUAGGCGGUCUAUCAAGUCAGGUGUGAAAUCCCACGGCUCAACCGUGGAGGUGCAUCUGAAACUGAUAGACUUGAGUAUGGGAGAGGAAAGUGGAAUUCCCGGUGUAGAGGUGAAAUUCGUAGAUAUCGGGAGGAACACCAGUGGCGAAGGCGACUUUCUGGACCAAUACUGACGCUGAGGCGCGAAAGCGUGGGGAGCAAACAGGAUUAGAUACCCUAGUAGUCC